RNAcentral lists this long non-coding RNA (7713 nucleotides) under Lactuca sativa (garden lettuce). RNAcentral's name for it is "long non-coding RNA (LSAT_LNC003018)". Lineage: Eukaryota; Viridiplantae; Streptophyta; Magnoliopsida; Asterales; Asteraceae. The record is from RNAcentral.
ACAUGAAUGUAUCACAAAAUAAAAGUAAUAGGGAAAAUAUAGCCAUAUAAGUAAUAUCCUUUGGUAUUAGGAUAAACACGACAUCGCGACUGCCGAAACGUUCUCAUCAUGAAUAUCCGUAGAUGUUCAUUUUCCUCUGUAGCUAACAGCAGGUGGAAGGAAUGGUUAGUUCCUUAAAUGUCUUCCUAAUAUAAGUAUUAACCAUAGAUAUCCGUAGAUGAUCAUUACCUCUGUUGCUAACAGCCGGGUUUAGGAAUGGUUAGUCCCUUAUUGUUUCUUACCACAUAGUAUCUAUGUAAAAGUAUCCCUAUAAGUGUAUCCAUGUAAGAAGAAUCUCUGUUAGAGUAUCCAUAUAAAUGUAUCCAUAUAAGAGGAAUCUCUGUAAGAGUAUCCCUUCACAUAGCAUGUAGUCUAGACUCAUGAAUGAAUUGACUCUGGUGUAAUUUCUAGUAAUAGGGAUAAUGUUUUGUAUCCCCGAAACUAUUCCUAUAAUAGUUUACUAGAAUGUAAUUGAUGAGUGUCCAAGUAGGUUUAUACACCCUUGCUACCCAAGAGUGCCGGAACUGGAUUAACUGAUGGAACAUUUAUGACUAUAUAUGUACAUAUGAUAUAUAACUAAUAUUUAAACGACCUUCGGACGAGUACCCGAUAUCCCAUCAGACCACAUCCAAAUCGAGGAAAAGGAAACAGGGUGGAUAGCCUUCCUAAGUCUUUUAAACAUUUCUUAUAUAACUAUACUUAUAGAGGCAUGCAAUUUAUAAUAUAAAAGCAUAAAAGAAGUUUUGUAAAAGCUUUGAAAAGUUUAAUAAAUGAGAAUUUAUGACUUGAUGUCAGUUUAUAAAUCGAAUCGAAAACCGUUUAACAAAACAUUUUAAGUGUGAGAAAACCUUUGUUUGAAGCACAUCUAUAACAGAUUCAAAAGGAAACGUAUAGUUUGUAAGACAGUUUCUAAAAGUAUUUCAACAUGUAAAAACGAUUGAGAAAACUAUUUGAAGUACACAUGAAAACGUUCUUUUGUUCUUGUAUAUGAAUGUAUCUCCUUGAAAUGGUAUAUCUAGUAUGUAAAAGUUCAUGAUGUUCUCGUAAAACUAUACCUAUUAUAGUUUUCUAAAAGUGUGUCUUGUUGGUAUAGUAAUCCCUAGUGAAACGCUCACUUGUUAUGAAAAGCGUAAUUUUUGUAGUGCCUAAGAUGGACACAUAUACUUACAGUAUAAGCAAGGUUUUGAUAUAUAUAUAUAUAUAUAUAUAUAUAUAUAUAUAUAUAUAUAUAACAANNNNNNNNNNNNNNNNNNNNNNNNNNNNNNNNNNNNNNNNUAUAUAUAUAUAUAUAAAACAACAUUUAUCAUUUCAAAAGAUAUGAUGUUAUCAUGAUAUAUUUUGCAUAUGAAAGUUUCCUUAUAAUAGUUAUAAAUCACAUAUGAUUCCGUUCAUAAAAAGUGUAUAAUGAAACUUUAUAUAACACACUAUAAUAAUCGUGUGUUUUACUUGUAUUCCCCCAUAAAAGCAUAUAAAAACAUUUAUAAAACAUUUAAAAGUGGAGAUUAUAGGGGUAUGAACUCACAUGAUUGAUCGAAGAAAGUGAGACGAAAACCGAGCAAAACUUCUACUCGAGAAAGCAGAUUUCUUGGGAUUCUCAGGAAUCUCAGGAGCGUAAAACUUCCUUCCAAACAUGGAUAUUAAAAUCGGGCCUUUGGGAUGCCUCUGAGGAUUGAUACGCGGAUCUUCGGUGCGAGAAAGGAAAGAAUUGAGCAAAAAAGGCCGACAUCCUCGCAUCCUUUAUAUAGGGUCUGAAUCCCUAGCGUACGCUGGGCGUACGAGGGUACGAUGGGCGUACGCAACGUCAUGCAUGAGCGCAUCCUCGGUUGAAGCAUCAGAGCGACGUGGACGAGAUGGAGCCUAGCAUCCGAGUACACUGGGCAUACGAUGGUACGUUGGGUGUAACUUGGAUUGGUCCGAUGACUCCUCCUUCGGAUAAUACCGGAUUUUGAAUUAAAUUUAUAUUUUAAUUAUUUAGUAAACUUCAAAAAUUCAUAUCUUCCUCAUAUGAACUCCGUUUUCGACGUUCUUUAUAUCCACGCGAAGGUGAGACUACGAUCUUCAACUUUUGUUUAGACUCCAUCAGCAAAUCUUGAAUUUAUUUUUAAUAUUAUAUUGUAAUAGGUCGGGACAGGAAAAGUCCGUUAAAGUUCCACAACUUCUUCAUCCAACGUCCGUUUCCGUUAGACUUUUUACCGUUGCGCUUCNAGACCGUCGACUCAUUUAGUUUGUGUCGGCUAAAAGUCUCUUGAUCUCCAUUUCGAGUUUUUAGCUGUCUACUGCUAUAUCCGUAACUUAAAAAAAAUCAUAACUUCCUCAUACGAAGUGAGAAUUGGACGUUCUUUUCAUGUACACUUACGUUUUAAUGAUAUCUAACACUUUCAUUUAGAUACCUAAGGCUAAAAAUUAUUGUAUUGAGACUUCAUAUUUUACGUCUAUCAGUGUUGCCGGCUUUGCCGAGAAUCUUCGGUUGGUCAUAACUUCUUCGUUAUAAUUCGGAUUCUAGGGUUCUUUAUAUGUACGAAAACCUUGAUACAAUUCCGACUACUUUAUUUAACCCAAAUAAGAUUUUGGGAAAGUUAAAUUUUGACAUAAGUUUGACUUGUGAUCCAUCAUAUUGUCUCAAAAUCUCGUGUUGUCACAUCAUCCCCCCGUUAGAGGGAAUUUCGUCCCGAAAUUUGAGUUUAAACAGAAUUGAUAACCAUGCUACGGUUAGAAGUUUUAUUUGCUUCUAGUGUUCUUAAGUGAACUCGGUUGCUCGCUUGGCAUUCCAGAGAACCUUUCACUAUCGCGAUACGACUUUGAUUCUUUCGUUUAACUUCACUGACAUGAUAACUCUUCUUGGUCGAACAUACGUUGAAUGUUUUUGUGGACUGUGAGAAUAUUACAUCUUGUACCCCAAAACUAGUGUCUCCAGAUCUUCAAAGAAAUUACCGUUGCUCCUGACUCAAGAUCAUGUGUUGUAUAGUUAACUUCCUGUGUCUUAAGCUGUCUUGAGGUAUAGGCAGUGACCUUUCCUCUUGCAUAAGAACACAACCAAUUCAUACUGAUUAUGACAUCAGAACCUUGUGGUUGAUUAGGUGUCAUGAAGAUCUAAAAGAAAGUAUGAUUACUCAUGAAUUAAGGAAAAAGGAUAGGUACUUUUGUUCUAUCUGUCUCUCUUGUCCCAAUCGAUAGGAAGGGCAUGUGUUUGGCUUCAAACUUUAUUCUCAUGGCAGCAAGAUCACUCGUAGUCUUGGGCAGUCUUCGUCCUGAAGUUCAUAUUACACUUCAUACAUGGUUCAACAAUCACAAUCUCGUGUAUACGAGUCGUAUAUAAUUAAGAUUGAAAAGGUAGUCGAAUAAAUGAUUCAUCUUUAAGCUCACAUCCCAUCGAGGAAAGAGAAGUUAAAGUGGAAUCGUCAAUUCCAAACCUGUAGAACCUUGAUUAUAUAUCACCCUUAUGUAUACAUUCAUCAACAACAGAUCAACCGUAUGGAUCUUUGGAUUUGAACUUGACGUACUGUACGAGUGGCACUUCAGGGAUUUCUUCGGAAAGGAAAAGAACUAUGAGGUACUCCAUUCAUGAGUACUUGGUGUUCUGAUAUGACGGCUUCGCUGGAAAGGCGAUUUCGAAGAAAGAGAUGUAUGUAUGAAGCUGUUUUUGUGAGAAUCAAAUUGAAUCAAGUCGUAUGAUAAUUUUGGAAUCAUAAGGAAACUUAAACACAUUAGAUUAGAACAUAAGACGUUUACAGACAAAACACAACCAUGCAACCUUCAACAGAGUUACAGUACUUUAGACUACUACAAGACUAUUGCUACCAAUAAGGUAUACUACAAAAGGCAAGUAUACGAAGCAUGAGUAUCCCUAUACCGACGGGAUCCCGCAAAAGUUAAGACUCUGGUUGCAUUAGUUUUGGAUGGUUUAUAAGUCUGUUCCAACGAAACGCCUAAAUUACAUUAACGUGGGUUCGAGGUAGGUUCUCCUGUAACUGUGAUCAUGAGAAUCCUACCGUCUACGCCAGAGUUCUUUGUUAUAUGGCAAUCCUUCUUGAGGUGCCCUAUCUCCCCGUAUUGGUGGCAUGACUUGUUAGUGCUAGCCUUGGUGGCGGGGGGGAGGGGUUUAGCCAGUGUUAUGUGGNUCUUGGAAAUUGCUUCCUAAAGUGUUCUGCAGGAGUUGCCACUUGUUGGUUUCCCGGUUUGGUACUACCAUCGGAACUCUCGACUCCUUUGUCGGUCUUUCUUGUGUUGCCUGAGUUGAUGUGUGUAAGGAAAGUUGUCACAGCAACUACUACUGUAGCUUGUAAUGUAGCGGCGUCGAUAUGGAGGAUAGGGGUUUCAUUGCUCGGCUGAUUGCUUCCGGAUGACGAGAUGAUUCUGUAACACAAAAGAUAAAGAUUUUGUGGGCGAUUCUGGUUGACUCUAGAUGUACUUCGAUUGUUCAAGUAAAGAGUAAGACUAGUUUCUCGAAAGUUUGACCUACAUCCCUAUGAUGCAGUCCUAGUACGCAUUGGAAGUAUGUUUAUGAAGGGUUGACCUACAUCCCUAUGAUGCAGUCCUAGAAAUGAGUGGAAUUAAGUUCAUAGAAUGGUCUCAAGACUCUUGUCGUUCAAGUCGAGGUAUCGUAGGUUGGUGAAUAACAUGAUCCAACCACUAAAAGAGAUUUGGAGAUGUUUUCCGGAGCUAAAUUACUAUAGUCCAAUGAUUUGACUAAAGCAUGUUUCUGAUAGACUCCAAUGAAAGUAUGAUAAGAGUACUUGAAUAAAGAAUGACACAGAAGUUAGUCGACUUUCAAUAUCAUUGAUAUUCAUGACGUAAAAGUUCGGGAAAAAUGACCUUGUAAAAGGUCUUACAUCAUAUCCACAGAAGAUAGUUCUUGACAUCAUAAAGACCUAACCAAAUGUACUUACAGUACAAGAUAGUUUCAUAGAAAAUGGCACAUCGGGCAUAGACAAAAAAUGAUUCCUUUUUACAAGGAAAAUAAAGUAAGGCAUUUACUACUGGAGACGAUCACCCUUAUCGUAAACCCUUAGUUCAGCUAGUUGACGUUCUAUAUCAAGCAGACAUCUUUCAUACACCUUAUGGCGUACUUGGAGCUUUAUGACUUCGGCUCGGGUUUCAGCUAGUUCUUGCUGCAGGGUCUCAUGAUUUCUCUCGGAUCUCUCACCUGGGAUCAAGGUGGUUGGAGCGAAUGGUAUGCAUUCUGGCAUUGGCAUUAAUCUCUUAGAUACAUUGGAGAGCCGUCCUGCCCUGAAUUUCGUUUCGGGCAACUCUGCGGCCGGACUUGGAAGAAUUCUGUCUGCUGAGCUUCCUUCACUUGUGUUUUAGAAGCUUCGGUCUCCAUCAAAUGACAUAGGUUGAUCUUGCUCUUCGCUCCCUAUCUCCAAACAUUCUACCCAAGGGUGCGUCGGGCCAUGAAAAGCCGGUCGAGGGUUAGGAAUUGGAACGGGAGAUGCUUGUGGUAGGUUCUCAACCUUGGGUUCGGAGUUGUCAACAUUCGAAAGGUUUUCAGCAUGGUGAUCCUUCAAAGGGAUUGGAUGAUCACUUUCUAGUUCUUCUUCAAACCAUCCAACAACACCUUUGUUCUGAAGGUACGGUUUGCCGUGGGGAUGGAGUCCAGUUAUGUUAUCUACAUGAGAAUUGGGGUAAGGAAAUAAUUAUUAGACGAACUAUCUAGAUAAUUAUUAGAAAAUCUUCAUUAGUUACAUCUCUAUUUGUAAAGUGCAUACCUGUCAUAUGUAAUCAACACAGGAUAGGCUUUCGAAUAAGCGAGCUUAACUCCAAAUUCACAAGGAAUAAGGGUAAAGCAAAAACUUCACCGAUUCUAAGUCUAUAACAUCCUAGGUACAUAUAGCCUUAAUGUACCCACUUAGCAACUAUCAACUUAGAAAUGAAGAUCCUUUUUAGUUCUCAAGUAAGUAAUUAUGGUAACGCAAAACACCCCUAUGGUAUUUUAGACUUAGGUUCUGCUAUAAUGUUCUCAUUGUGGUAAUGUUGGUAAGUUUUUAGAAUUGUUGCUACAUCACAACCAUUCUUGGGCAUACGCUAAUCACUCCUCGGACAUGCAUAGUUGAUCAGGCUAUGUCACUCCCAAGACUGACUAUACAUCCCCAUGCUUACUUGUGAUAUUCAACAAUUGUAAUACUUUUGUUCUUAUCAUUGUGACACCGAUUUUAGUAUGAAUGCAGACACAUAUACUUACUUAAAUAUUUUAUUAUUUUAGAAGUAUAAACUCUAAGUCAGAGUAUUUUAAUCCCAUUGUAUUUAUAGUUAGUAUAUAUUUUAUGGGUUGAUAUACCCAAUUCACUAUAAAUAAUGCUCUGAUACCAAUCUGUCACACCCCAAAACCGAGAACGGCGGAAACGUUCUGGGGCGGAGGACGUCAUGUAUCUAUCACAAAUAUGUAAAGUAGUAAACAAGCAACAACAUCGUCCAUUGCAUUAAUAGUAAUAGUUUAAUACAUGUGUGUUCUGUCAUAGAAAUAAGACAUUACAACAAGUAAUCAAAAUAAAAGACAAGUCUUGACUGUUUCGUCUUCGCAAAACUUGGUCAUCGUACCUGUCUACUGGUGACCUGAGAAUACAAGUUAUUUUGAAAGUGUAGAUCAGCAUUUAAGCUGGUGAGUUCAUAAGUAUUUAAUGUCAUUGUUCGUAUAAGUUUGAUGAUAACAUUUGAAAUCGUUCAAUGUAAUUUGUUGUAUAUGUUUUGAAAAAUCCUAGAAAAUCCCAUAUUUUCUACUAGUAUAAAAAGUAGUCUUCUAGCAAGACCUGAAUGUUUUGAAAGUAGUCUUCUACCAAGACUUGUAUGUUUCGCUGUAACAAAGAUGGUUUUCCCCUUUAUGACUACUAUUAACAAUAUAUAUAGUCUACUUCAUCGUUUAUGUGAAUGUAUCACAAAAUAAAAGUAAUAGGGAAACUAUAGCCAUAUAAAUAUUAUCCUUUGGUAUUAGGAUAAACACGACAUCGCGACUGCUGAAAUGUUCUCACCAUGAAUAUCCGUAGAUGUUCAUUUUCCUCUGUAGCUAACAGCAGGUGGAAGGAAUGGUUAGUUCCUUAAAUGUCUUCCUAAUAUAAGUAUUAACCAUAGAUAUCCGUAGAUGAUCAUUACCUCUGUUGCUAACAGCCGGGUUUAGGAAUGGUUAGUCCCUUAUUGUUUCUUACCACAUAGUAUCUAUGUAAAAGUAUCCCUAUAAGUGUAUCCAUGUAAGAAGAAUCUCUGUUAGAGUAUCCAUAUAAAUGUAUCCAUGUAAGAGGAAUCUCUGUAAGAGUAUCCCUUCACAUAGCAUGUAGUCUAGACUCAUGAAUGAAUUGACUCUGGUGUAAUUUCUAGUAAUAGGGAUAAUGUUUUGUAUCCCCGAAACUAUUCCUAUAAUAGUUUACUAGAAUGUAAUUGAUGAGUGUCCAAGUAGGUUUAUACACCCUUGCUACCCAAGAGUGCCGGAACUGGAUUAACUGAUGGAACAUUUAUGACUAUAUAUGUACAUAUGAUAUAUAACUAAUAUUUAAACGACCUUCGGACGAGUACCCGAUAUCCCAUCAGACCACAUCCAAAUCGAGGAAAAGGAAACAGGGUGGAUAGUCUUCCUAAGUCUUUUAAACAUUUCUUAUAUAACUAUACUUAUAGAGGCAUGCAAUUUAUAAUAUAAAAGCAUAAAAGAAGUUUUGUAAAACCUUUGAAAAGUUUAAUAAAUAAGAAUUU